Molecule: ribosomal RNA, 505 nt
Filed under: uncultured bacterium
Lineage: Bacteria
Description: partial 16S ribosomal RNA
Rfam family: Bacterial small subunit ribosomal RNA
Source: RNAcentral
GACGAACGCUGGCGGCGUGCCUAAUACAUGCAAGUAGAACGCACAGUUUAUACCGUAGCUUGCUACACCAUAGACUGUGAGUUGCGAACGGGUGAGUAACGCGUAGGUAACCUGCCUGGUAGCGGGGGAUAACUAUUGGAAACGAUAGCUAAUACCGCAUAAUAUUAAUUAUUGCAUGAUAAUUAAUUGAAAGGUGCAAUUGCACCACUACCAGAUGGACCUGCGUUGUAUUAGCUAGUAGGUGAGGUAACGGCGCACCUAGGCGACGAUACAUAGCCGACCUGAGAGGGUGAUCGGCCACCCUGGGACUGAGACACGGCCCAGACUCCUACGGGAGGCAGCAGUAGGGAAUCUUCGGCAAUGGACGAAAGUCUGACCGAGCAACGCCGCGUGAGUGAAGAAGGUUUUCGGAUCGUAAAGCUCUGUUGUAAGAGAAGAACGGGUGUGAGAGUGGAAAGUUCACACUGUGACGGUAUCUUACCAGAAAGGGACGGCUAACUACGUG